UCCAGGCCACUGAUGACGCUGAUUUUGUUAAAGGAUAAGUCAAGCCAGGUCAGGUUUGUCUGCAGGCGAGUUGGAGGACGGGGAUUAUUGCAAGCGUUAGUGGGUGGUAAGCGUAGCGCUUGUGCGGCGGAAGUGCGUACGGAGAGGGCAAGCCUGCACAAUUGUUUCUGUACGAGUCGGGAGGUUUUGGUUAAACUCGGUAUGGCGGGAGGCGGUGGUAAAGGAUACGGCACGCAGGAAGCUUUUAUACGGAUGGUAUGGGACACACGUGGACUUGGGCCGCCAUAGGCUAAACCCCCAAGUGAUGGAACGGAUACUGGGAAAUGCCUUGGGCCGGAUCCAUUGGGACAACGGUACCCCCUUUGGGCGCAGGACCGUGCAACCAGCUGCGUCGUCCUGCUGCUCUAACACAGGCCAGCACACCCCCAAUCCAGCGCCCGGCACACGGACUUGAUUCCCAUAUAACCGGCCCUACCAAGUGGGCCAGAUUUUCAAUUUUCUUGAUUUGAUUAUUGUCCAACUGAAGCUUUGUCAAGUUGUCCAACCCCCUCAAGUUGUCGAUGCAAGCCAGGUUCUUGAAGCUGAAUGCCAAGCACUCCACGUCCCGGAACGGCAUGCUGCGCUUCUUGUUGGCUGCUGUGUCGGGUUCCCCCCCUUGUAUCUACAGAAUUUUGCCAGAGCGCUUCCGCCAUGUGCCGAAAACAGCCGAAGCGAUAACAGAUCCAAAUCCCUACCUG
This 737-nucleotide long non-coding RNA is filed under the name Volvox carteri. RNAcentral describes it as "long non-coding RNA (VCAR_LNC000454)". Lineage: Eukaryota; Viridiplantae; Chlorophyta; Chlorophyceae; Chlamydomonadales; Volvocaceae. The record is from RNAcentral.